This 641-nucleotide ribosomal RNA is filed under the name uncultured Anaplasma sp. Its description in RNAcentral is "bacterial SSU rRNA". It matches the Rfam family "Bacterial small subunit ribosomal RNA", at positions 815 to 1456 of the family's 1533-position model. Lineage: Bacteria; Pseudomonadati; Pseudomonadota; Alphaproteobacteria; Rickettsiales; Anaplasmataceae. The record is from RNAcentral.
GCUGAAUGUGGGGAUAAUUUAUCUCCGUGUUGUAGCUAACGCGUUAAGCACUCCGCCUGGGGACUACGGUCGCAAGACUAAAACUCAAAGGAAUUGACGGGGACCCGCACAAGCGGUGGAGCAUGUGGUUUAAUUCGAUGCAACGCGAAAAACCUUACCACUCCUUGACAUGGAGAUUAGAUCCUUCUUAACAGAAGGGCGCAGUUCGGCUGGAUCUCGCACAGGUGCUGCAUGGCUGUCGUCAGCUCGUGUCGUGAGAUGUUGGGUUAAGUCCCGCAACGAGCGUAACCCUCAUCCUUAGUUGCCAGCGGGUAAGCCGGGCACUUUAAGGAAACUGCCGGUGGUAAACCGGAGGAAGGUGGGGAUGAUGUCAAGUCAGCACGGCCCUUAUGGGGUGGGCUACACACGUGCUACAAUGGUGACUACAAUAGGUUGCAAUGUCGCAAGGCUGAGCUAAUCCGUAAAAGUCAUCUCAGUUCGGAUUGUCCUCUGCAACUCGAGGGCAUGAAGUCGGAAUCGCUAGUAAUCGUGGAUCAGCAUGCCACGGUGAAUACGUUCUCGGGUCUUGUACACACUGCCCGUCACGCCAUGGGAAUUGGCUUAACUCGAAGCUGGUGCGAUAACCGAAAGGAAGCAGCCAU